Molecule: ribosomal RNA, 366 nt
Filed under: uncultured eukaryote
Lineage: Eukaryota
Description: partial 18S ribosomal RNA
Rfam family: Eukaryotic small subunit ribosomal RNA
Source: RNAcentral
CAAUAGCGUAUAUUAAAGUUGUUGCAGUUAAAAAGCUCGUAGUUGAAUUUCUGGUGGGCGCGCCGGUCUUCCAAGUGUUGUACUGGGCGCAGUCCGCCAUCCUUGUGGAGAGGGCUCGCAUUGAGUUGCGUGUCGGAUCUGCAUCAUUUACUGUGAAAAAAUUAGAGUGUUUAAAGCAGGCUGUCGCUUGAAUACAUUAGCAUGGAAUAAUAAGAUAGGACUUCGGUCUAUUUUGUUGGUUGCGAACCGAGGUAAUGAUUAAUAGGGAUAGUUGGGGGUAUUCAUAUUUAAUUGUCAGAGGUCAAAUUCUUGGAUUUAUGAAAGAUGAACAACUGCGAAAGCAUUUACCAAGGAUGUUUUCAUUAA